Rickettsiella grylli is the source of this 2999-nucleotide non-coding RNA. NCBI's taxonomy places the organism in Bacteria, Pseudomonadati, Pseudomonadota, Gammaproteobacteria, Legionellales, Coxiellaceae. The record is from Rfam.
AAUUAAGUGAAUAAGCGCAGAAGGUGGAUGCCUAGGCAGUCGAAGGCGAAGAAAGACGUGGAAGCCUGCGAAAAGCUUCGGGGAGCUGGCAAACAAGCAUUGAUCCGGAGAUAUCUGAAUGGGGAAACCCGGCCUAUUUCAUAUAGGUCAUUGUUAACUGAAUUCAUAGGUUAAUAAGGCGAACCGAGGGAACUGAAACAUCUAAGUACCUCGAGGAAAAGAAAUCAAUUGAGAUUCUGCAAGUAGCGGCGAGCGAACGUGGAAAAGCCUUCACGAGCUAGUUAACAGAUUAGCCAAAAGUUCUGGAAAGGACUGCCCUAGAGGGUGAAAGCCCCGUCGGCGAAAAUGUGUUAAUGAGACUAAGCGUGAAAUCAAGUAGGGCGGGACACGAGAAAUCCUGUCUGAAGAUGGGGGGACCAUCCUCCAAGGCUAAAUACUCUCGACUGACCGAUAGUGAACCAGUACCGUGAGGGAAAGGCGAAAAGAACCCCGGAGAGGGGAGUGAAAUAGAACCUGAAACCGUCUGCGUACAAGCAGUAGGAGCUCAUCUUCGGAUGAGUGACUGCGUACCUUUUGUAUAAUGGGUCAGCGAGUGACUUUUAGUGGCAAGCUUAACCGACUAGGGUAGGCGAAGGGAAACCGAGUCUGAAUAGGGCGUUGAGUCGCUAGGAGUCGACCCGAAACCGAGCGAGCUAGCCAUGUCCAGGGUGAAGCUUGGGUAACACUAAGUGGAGGCCCGAACCCACAUCUGUUGCAAAAGAUGGGGAUGAGGUGUGGCUAGGAGUGAAAGGCUAAACAAGCUCGGAGAUAGCUGGUUCUCCUCGAAAGCUAUUGAGGUAGCGCCUCGUGUUAACGACUAGGGGGUAGAGCACUGUUUCGGUAAGGGGGUCAUCCCGACUUACUGAGCCGAUGCAAACUUCGAAUACCUAGGACGUGAUGCACGGGAGACACACGGCGGGUGCUAACGUCCGUCGUGAAAAGGGAAACAACCCAGAUCACCUGCUAAAGUCCCAAAAGUUAGGUUAAGUGUGAAACGUAGUGGAAAGGUUUAAACAGCCAGGAGGUUGGCUUAGAAGCAGCCAUCCUUUAAAGAAAGCGUAAUAGCUCACUGGUCGAAUCGGUCUGCGCGGAAGAAUGAACGGGGCUCAAACCUAAUACUGAAGCAGUGAAUGUCAUUAGUUUACGAAUUAAUGGCGUGGUAGAGGAGCGUUCGGUAAGCCGUUGAAGGUGACCUGUAAGGGUUGCUGGAGGUAUCCGAAGUGCGAAUGCUGACAUGAGUAACGAUAAGGCGAGUGAAAACCUCGCCCGCCGAAAGUCCCAGGAUUCCUGCGCAACGGUAAUCGACGCAGGGUGAGUCGGCCCCUAAGGCGAGGCGGAAACGCGUAGUCGAUGGGAAACAGGUUAAAAUUCCUGUACUUUUAUAGAUUGUGAUGGGAGGACGAAGAAGGCUAGGUUAGCCGGAGACUGGUAGUUCCGGUUUAAGCGAGUAGAGAGAGACUCUAGGAAAAACCGGAGUUUCGUUAAUCUCGAGACGUGAUGACGAGUUGUUAACCUCGGUUAACGAUGAAGUAAUUAAUGCCCUGCUUCCAGGAAAACUCUCUAAACUUCAGGUCUAUAGGAACCGUACCGCAAACCGACACAGGUGGACAGGUAGAGAAUACUAAGGCGAUGAGACAACUUGGGUGAAGGAACUAGGCAAAUUGGCACCGUAACUUCGGGAGAAGGUGCACCUUUUUUGGUGAGUGGGUAUACCCCACAAGCUGAGGGAGGUUGAAAUAAUCAGGUGGUUGCGACUGUUUACCAAAAACACAGCACUCUGCGAACUCGAAAGAGGAAGUAUAGGGUGUGACGCCUGCCCGGUGCCGGAAGGUUAAUUGAAGUAGUUAACUUGCGCUGAGAUGGCUUUUGACAAUGAAUUAGAAAGAAAAAUAAUUCGAAAAUAAAGCUCAAAAGUCAUGUCAGCGCAGGUGAAGCUGCGGAUCGAAGCCCCGGUAAACGGCGGCCGUAACUAUAACGGUCCUAAGGUAGCGAAAUUCCUUGUCGGGUAAGUUCCGACCUGCACGAAUGGCGUAACGACAGCCACACUGUCUCCACCCAAGACUCAGUGAAAUUGAAAUCGCUGUGAAGAUGCAGCGUACCCGCGGCAAGACGGAAAGACCCCGUGCACCUUUACUACAGCUUUACACUGGACUUUGAAUUUAACUGUGUAGAAUAGGUGGGAGGCAUUGAAGCGAGUUCGCUAGAAUUCGUGGAGCCGACCUUUGAAAUACCACCCUGUUAACGUUGAAGUUCUAACCUAGGGCCCUUAUCGGGUUUGGGGACAGUGUAUGGUGGGUAGUUUGACUGGGGCGGUCUCCUCCUAAAGAGUAACGGAGGAGCACGAAGGUACCCUCAGCGCGGUCGGACAUCGCGCAUUGCGUGUAAUGGCACAAGGGUGCUUGACUGCGAGACAAACACGUCGAGCAGGUGCGAAAGCAGGUCAUAGUGAUCCGGUGGUUCCGAAUGGAAGGGCCAUCGCUUAACGAAUAAAAGGUACGCCGGGGAUAACAGGCUGAUACCGCCCAAGAGUUCAUAUCGACGGCGGUGUUUGGCACCUCGAUGUCGGCUCAUCACAUCCUGGGGCUGAAGCAGGUCCCAAGGGUAUGGCUGUUCGCCAUUUAAAGUGGUACGCGAGCUGGGUUCAGAACGUCGUGAGACAGUUCGGUCCCUAUCUGCCGUGGGCGCUGGAGAUUUGAGAGGAGCUACGCCUAGUACGAGAGGACCGGCGUGGAGGUACCGCUGGUGGUCCGGUUGUUUCGCCAGAAGCAUAGCCGGGUAGCUACGUACCGACAGGAUAACCGCUGAAAGCAUCUAAGCGGGAAACCUCCCUCAAGAUAAGAUCUCCCGAGGAUUUAAUCCUCCUCAAGGUCCGUUGAAGACGACGACGUAGAUAGGUGGGGUGUGUAAGUACAGUAAUGUAUUGAGCUAACCCAUACUAAUUGACCGUGUGGCUUAAUUUG